RNAcentral lists this unclassified non-coding RNA (227 nucleotides) under Hevea brasiliensis (rubber tree). The record is from RNAcentral. Lineage: Eukaryota; Viridiplantae; Streptophyta; Magnoliopsida; Malpighiales; Euphorbiaceae.
CUUGAGUUUGCUUAAGAGAUCCUGAAAGCGAGUGGGAUGAUGCGUUUUGGUGAAUAUAUCAGCGGUUUGGCUGAUAGAGGAGACAGGAAUCAAACUGAACGGGNNNNNCGACGAAGAGUAGUGCUAGGAGCAGAUGCAGGCGCAGGUACUGGAUCAACAACUGGUGCAGAUUCAACAGAGACAGGUAAACUGGACGGGUAGAACUACGAAGAGUAGUGCUAGGAGCA